UAGCUCAGCAGGAUAGAGCAGCAGCCUUCUAAGCUGAUGAUGCGGGUUCGAUUCCCGC
This 58-nucleotide transfer RNA is filed under the name Salmonella enterica. RNAcentral describes it as "tRNA-Arg". It matches the Rfam family "tRNA", at positions 8 to 63 of the family's 71-position model. Rfam says of the family: Transfer RNA (tRNA) molecules are approximately 80 nucleotides in length. Their secondary structure includes four short double-helical elements and three loops (D, anti-codon, and T loops). Lineage: Bacteria; Pseudomonadati; Pseudomonadota; Gammaproteobacteria; Enterobacterales; Enterobacteriaceae. The record is from RNAcentral.